RNAcentral lists this ribosomal RNA (356 nucleotides) under uncultured bacterium. RNAcentral's name for it is "bacterial SSU rRNA". It matches the Rfam family "Bacterial small subunit ribosomal RNA", at positions 29 to 400 of the family's 1533-position model. The record is from RNAcentral.
AACGAACGCUGGCGGCAGGCCUAACACAUGCAAGUCGAACGAGAAGCCCACCUUCGGGUGGUGGACAGUGGCAGACGGGUGAGUAACGCGUGGGAACGUGCCUUUCGGUUCGGGAUAACCCAGGGAAACUUGGGCUAAUACCGGAUACGCCCUCCGGGGGAAAGAUUCAUUGCCGAAAGAUCGGCCCGCGUCGGAUUAGCUAGUUGGUGGGGUAAAAGCCUACCAAGGCGACGAUCCGUAGCUGGUCUGAGAGGAUGACCAGCCACACUGGGACUGAGACACGGCCCAGACUCCUACGGGAGGCAGCAGGUGGGGAAUAUUGGACAAUGGGCGCAAGCCUGAUCCAGCCAUGCCGC